This 406-nucleotide ribosomal RNA is filed under the name uncultured bacterium. RNAcentral's name for it is "partial 16S ribosomal RNA". It matches the Rfam family "Bacterial small subunit ribosomal RNA", at positions 30 to 526 of the family's 1533-position model. The record is from RNAcentral.
AUUGAACGCUGGCGGCAGGCCUAACACAUGCAAGUCGAGCGAGCGGCGGACGGGUGAGUAAUGUCUGGGAAACUGCCUGAUGGAGGGGGAUAACUACUGGAAACGGUAGCUAAUACCGCAUACCAUCAGAUGUGCCCAUAUGGGAUUAGCUUGUAGGUGGGGUAAAGGCUCACCUAGGCGACGAUCCCUAGCUGGUCUGAGAGGAUGACCAGCCACACUGGAACUGAGACACGGUCCAGACUCCUACGGGAGGCAGCAGUGGGGAAUAUUGCACAAUGGGCGCAAGCCUGAUGCAGCCAUGCCGCGUGUGUGAAGAAGGCCUUCGGGUUGUAAAGCACUUUCAGCGAGGAGGCGUUACUCACAGAAGAAGCACCGGCUAACUCCGUGCCAGCAGCCGCGGUAAUUC